GCGGCGGCGGCGGCGGAUGCGCGGCGACCUGGUUGGUAGUCUCGCGGCUCCGUCCCGCCGCCAGCACCCUGGCCAGCAGCAGCUCCGGACAGGAUUCAUCCACCGGAAGCAUCACCCGCGCGCUGUCUGUCCGGAUGUCCACUGCCACAGCUCCUGCCUCAGCUGCUACGUCGCCGCUGACGCCCGGAGACGUUUGAUGUUGUCGUCUUCGGCGCUGUCGCUGCACUUGCGGACUUAGCUGUCCCACUGGGGCUUGACUGAGUGGCCCGCCUGG
RNAcentral lists this long non-coding RNA (274 nucleotides) under Volvox carteri. Its description in RNAcentral is "long non-coding RNA (VCAR_LNC000957)". The record is from RNAcentral. Lineage: Eukaryota; Viridiplantae; Chlorophyta; Chlorophyceae; Chlamydomonadales; Volvocaceae.